AAGGAGCACCAUUUCCCAGUCGAAUGAACUAGGGAACAUAAAGUAGGCAUCUGUAGUGGAUAUCUACUUGGUGAAUAUGUUUUGUAAAUCCUGUCCACCCCGUGGAUGGGUAGUCGGCAAAACGUCGGACUGUCAUAAGAAUUGAAACGCUGGCACACUGUUGGGUCCUGAGGCAACACGUUGUGUUGUCACCCUGCUUGGUGGUGGGGUGUGGACUUUGACUUCUGAAUAGUGGUUGCGAGCAUCUAAACAUAGCCUCGCUCGUUUUCGAGUGGGGCUGGUUUUUGCAAUUUUAUUAGCUAAGUUCUUAAGGGCGCAUGGUGAAUGCCUUGGCACUAGAAGCCGAUGAAGGACGUGGGAGGCU
RNAcentral lists this unclassified non-coding RNA (364 nucleotides) under Mycobacteroides abscessus. Its description in RNAcentral is "partial contains 16S-23S intergenic spacer and 23S ribosomal RNA". The record is from RNAcentral. Lineage: Bacteria; Bacillati; Actinomycetota; Actinomycetes; Mycobacteriales; Mycobacteriaceae.